Callithrix jacchus (white-tufted-ear marmoset) is the source of this 300-nucleotide unclassified non-coding RNA. It matches the Rfam family "Metazoan signal recognition particle RNA". From Rfam's summary of the family: The signal recognition particle (SRP) is a universally conserved ribonucleoprotein. It is involved in the co-translational targeting of proteins to membranes. Lineage: Eukaryota; Metazoa; Chordata; Mammalia; Primates; Cebidae. The record is from Ensembl.
GCCGGGUGCAGUGGCACGUGCCUGUAGUCCCAGCUACUUGGGAGGCUGAGGUGUGAGGAUCGCUUGAGCUCAGGAGUUCUGGUCUGUAGUGCACUAUGCCAAUUGGGUGUCUGCACUAAGUUCAGCAUCAACAUGGUGACCUCCCAGGAGAGGGAGACCAUCAGGUUGCCUAAGGAGGGGUGAACCGGCCCAGGUCAGAAAAGGAGCGGGUCAAAACUUCCGUGCUGAUCAGUAUUGGGAAUGCACCUGUGAACAGCCACUGCACUCCAGACUAGGCAACACAGCAAGACCCCAUCUCUU